AAUUGCAAUUUAUGACAUUUUAUUUCUUAAACUUUAAUCCAUUAUAAUUAUUGACUCGAUUUUUCAGAAUUACUGUAAUUAAGUUCAGCAAUUUAAUUUAGUUGACUAAAUUUAACGUAUCGUUAAUGUAAAAAUAAUAUGACAUUUUAAUUAUUUAUGCAUUAUCAAUCAUGACAUUAUUAUAUCACCUCUAUAUUGGCAAUAUCUUAAUAUUUAAUCAACUAAAUUAGGUUAUAGGAUUUGAUUGUAAUAUAUAAUUCUAAAAACUCGGGCAAAAAAUUAGAAUAAAUUAAAAUUUGAGGACGAAAGUAUCACUAGGUCCAUUAUAUUAAUAACACUUGAGAAAUUAUGUAAU
RNAcentral lists this long non-coding RNA (355 nucleotides) under Ananas comosus (pineapple). RNAcentral describes it as "long non-coding RNA (ACOM_LNC020559)". Lineage: Eukaryota; Viridiplantae; Streptophyta; Magnoliopsida; Poales; Bromeliaceae. The record is from RNAcentral.